CUCAUUCCUAAAUUCAUCUCACUUUCAAUUUGUGACCAUGACUGAGCUGGAAAUGCAGACUAUAAAAAAUGGCUUCUCAGAUGUUGAGGCUGUGGGUUAUGAAUUUGCCAGAGAUCUAAUACUAACUCUUCUCACUCCAUGUGGAACCAUGGUUGUCCAGACACACUGUCAGCCCAGCAGUCAGUUCUCAGUCUUGCAGACGGACAUGUGUCUUCACCCUUAGCUUUCUGAUCACGUCUGCAUCUCCCAUUCCUUCUCUUUCUCUGAAUCAAAGGUGGCACACAAACUUAGUGCAAAAAAGAUCCCACAAACUAAGACCUUGUAGAAGAAAAGGAAGCAGCCAAGAAAUUCAAGGUAUUUGUAACAUUGCCAAGUUUCAAUCAUUUGGGAUAAAAUUUUCCAUCUUAGGUGUCUCCAUUUGACAAGUUUUAAAUUUUUUGUUUGUUUGUUUUGGGUAUAUUACAGUAAAAAUAACUUGGCUGCUUUCAAGGACAAGGCUAUGGAAAAAGAAGUUUUGUCCAUGUGAACUGACUCCAGUGACCUUAAACUGAGUGUUUCACAUUUCAGAUUAAAACCUAGGACAGAGGGAGGAGUGAGCACACUUCAUAUCAAGGAUGUGACUUUUGGCAUCCCUCUGAAAUCUGACCCUAGUUGAUUAAAUUUCAUACUAUUGGGGGGUGGAGAGGGGUGUGUGGAGAAGGAAGUUCACACAUGUUCAGUAGAUCAAGAUUUUAACAGUUUAAUUCCGCAAAGUUGUCACCCCUAAGAGGCUGAACAUGAUGUUAUCAUGACUUGAGCUUCAAGUGCAAAGUCUGAGCACCCAAACUAAGGUCAGCAAACACUUUGUUGGGUUUCCCAAUGAUACCCCUUGAUUUAGGGAGUUAAAAGUAGAGGAGAAAAGAACUUGGUCAGAGAGAAGGGAGUAAACUGUGAUGAGAGUAAGUCACAGGAUACUACUGAGUGGGAUGGAAAGAGAUAAGAUAGGCUACGAAAACAGUACACAGGGCAAAGAUAAAGAUUGUCGAUAUAAUCGUAACUGAUGAAGUAAAGACAGGUUUGCAUAAGGUUGAGAGAUUUGAUAGAAGACCAACUGCCAUCUCAAAUUUUAACAUUUCAUAGCCUCAACUCAUAGUAUUAAUUUUUAAAAUAUAUCUUCAUUGCAAUUGCUUGUAGAGAUGAGACAAUUAUAUUACAUAUAACUCUUCACACUCCUUCAGACUAAACCUCAACUUAUUUUUCUGCUGAAGUAAGAAAAUUUGAAGAGAAAAUAUGAAUUGCUUCAAGUUAACUUCUAAGAUAAACAUCUCUUUCUCUCAGAAAUUACAAGAAAUUUUACUUUACAAACAAAUGUCCAAACACUCAAAAUUACUGUAAAUUACUUUAUUUCAAUAACUGAAAAUGGGCAAGUACUCUAAAUGAUAUAAAUUACUUUUAAACCUGAGCAUUUCAGGUUUAAAGGACAUAAACACUUCAAUGCAAUGCCUUGCAAAUCAUUUUAGAACAAGAAGUGGAGGGCAGCAUAAUUCAAAUAGAUUCAAGUUCAGACACUGACCUCACCAAGAAAUACCCCAUACUUAAGUAAAAAGAAAGUGCUUGGUUCUGGUUUAAAAUCUCCAUUGCUGUUUGGUAUUCAUGACAGAGAAGUCUGUGCCAAAACUGAUUCAAGUGUUCAAACCAGCACCAAUGUGAGGAUAAAGGUACCUUUCAGUCAGCCCAGUGUUAAUCAUCCUUUUUGUUCUCAGAGACAGCUUUAAAUCCUGUAUUUCUAAUAAUUUUUCUGAUUUUGACCUCAGCAAGAUCAAUUUUUGGACUCUGAGUGAGAUCUGACAAGCAAUUUGGCUAUAGCUCCCCCCACACAGCUUCAAAAACUGCUAUUGGACAUGUUCAGUGUUUGUCUCAUUAAAUGAUGGGCAGUAUCAUUUCAAUCUUUCACAAGACUGAGACCAAGAAAGCACAAUACCACUGAGUAUUUUGAUGCUAUUAAAUGUUGUUAAUAAAGUAAUUGCUAGAGUUCCAGAACCAUGCAGAUGCCAUCCUUCUAUUAUUAACAUCCCUAACCUCCUAAAUAUCACAUGGAGAUCUAGGACAUGUCCUUGAAGCGCAUCAUACCAUGAUGCAAAGUGAAAAGUCAAGUGAUAUUGGACCAUGUCUUGCACUUCAAGUCCUCCCUAAUGUAUAGCAAUUAUAUGGUGUCUUAUACCUUUAAAAUAUCGCUCAUUAUUGCCUAAGCCCUGUUGGUAGAUGCUUCUAGGUUUUCUUUUCUACUAAGUCACCCUGAUCCCUGUCUUUGCAGAAAUAAAGAAGGCUGCUACUAGAAUCCAUAUUUCUUCCCCACUGUUUAUGUCUUGUAUCGUUAAAAACAGCAGUGAAAAAAUCUGUGUCACAUAACUUUCUUCCCCACCAUGUCCUCUCUCAAACUCUCUCCUAUUACUACAUUAAUUGUCCUAGCAGAUGAACUGCUGCUGUGUAGAGGGCUGAAACAUUGGAGAAAAAGGAUCAGGCAUACUGAAAAAAGAUAUUUUCUG
Long non-coding RNA from Corapipo altera (White-ruffed manakin), 2525 nucleotides. RefSeq lists it as uncharacterized. The record is from RefSeq and is a predicted model, not a curated record. Lineage: Eukaryota; Metazoa; Chordata; Aves; Passeriformes; Pipridae. The transcript has 3 exons.